RNAcentral lists this microRNA precursor (75 nucleotides) under Haemonchus placei. RNAcentral describes it as "mir-5928 microRNA precursor family". It matches the Rfam family "mir-5928 microRNA precursor family". Lineage: Eukaryota; Metazoa; Nematoda; Chromadorea; Rhabditida; Trichostrongylidae. The record is from Rfam by way of RNAcentral.
GGUACAGACUUGAAGUAGAGUUGACUAGUAGGAUCAGCUGACCAUAUUAAUAUACUCUACUUCAAAUUUGGGCUC